RNAcentral lists this ribosomal RNA (200 nucleotides) under uncultured bacterium. RNAcentral's name for it is "partial 16S ribosomal RNA". It matches the Rfam family "Bacterial small subunit ribosomal RNA", at positions 28 to 228 of the family's 1533-position model. The record is from RNAcentral.
GAUGAACGCUAGCGGCAGGCCUAAUACAUGCAAGUCGAACGGGGUUAUUCAGCAAUGGAUAACUUAGUGGCGCACGGGUGCGUAACGCGUAUGCAACCUACCCUUGACAGGGGGGAUAACCCGGAGAAAUUCGGAUUAACACCGCAUAAGAUAACAGAAUGGCAUCAUUUAGUUAUUAAAUUUGAGGAGGUCAAGGAUGG